RNAcentral lists this ribosomal RNA (397 nucleotides) under uncultured bacterium. Its description in RNAcentral is "bacterial SSU rRNA". It matches the Rfam family "Bacterial small subunit ribosomal RNA", at positions 521 to 916 of the family's 1533-position model. The record is from RNAcentral.
UAAUACGGAGGGUGCGAGCGUUAUUCGGAAUUACUGGGCGUAAAGCGCGUGUAGGCGGGGAGGCAAGUCUGAUGUGAAAGCCCCGGGCUUAACCUGGGAAGUGCAUUGGAAACUGCUUUUCUUGAGUGCUGGAGAGGAAGGGGGAAUUCCCGGUGUAGAGGUGAAAUUCGUAGAGAUCGGGAGGAAUACCAGUGGCGAAGGCGCCCUUCUGGACGGCAACUGACGCUGAGACGCGAAAGCGUGGGGAGCAAACAGGAUUAGAUACCCUGGUAGUCCACGCUGUAAACGAUGAUCACUAGGUGUAGCGGGUACUCAUUCCUGCUGUGCCGCAGCUAACGCGUUAAGUGAUCCGCCUGGGGACUACGGUCGCAAGACUAAAACUUAAAGGAAUUGACGG